CUUGACGACCAUAGAGCGUUGGAACCACCUGAUCCCAUCCCGAACUCAGCAGUGAAACGAUGCCUCGCCGAUGGUAGUGUGGGGUUUCCCCAUGUGAGAGUAGGUCAUCGUCAAGA
RNAcentral lists this ribosomal RNA (116 nucleotides) under Pseudomonas atacamensis. The record is from RNAcentral. Lineage: Bacteria; Pseudomonadati; Pseudomonadota; Gammaproteobacteria; Pseudomonadales; Pseudomonadaceae.